GCUCAGAACGAACGCUGGCGGCGUGCCUAACACAUGCAAGUCGAGCGAGAAAGCCCGCAAGGGUGAGUAAAGCGGCGCACGGGUGCGUAACACGUGGGUAAUCUGCCCUAGAGUCCGGAAUAACUCGCCGAAAGGCGUGCUAAUGCCGGAUGAGACCACGGGAGCUUCGGCUCCUGGGGGAAAAGGUGGCCUCUGUACACAAGCUAUCGCUCUAGGAUGAGCCCGCGGCCCAUCAGCUAGCUGGCGGGGUAAUGGCCCACCAAGGCUACGACGGGUAGCUGGUCUGAGAGGACGAUCAGCCACACUGGAACUGAGACACGGUCCAGACUCCUACGGGAGGCAGCAGUGGGGAAUCUUGCGCAAUGGGCGAAAGCCUGACGCAGCAACGCCGCGUGUGUGAUGAAGGUCUUCGGAUCGUAAAGCACUGUCGCGAGGGACGAAUAAGGGUCGGGCUAACAUCCCGGUCCGAUGACGGUACCUCGAGAGGAAGCACCGGCUAACUCUGUGCCAGCAGCCGCGGUAAUACAGAGGGUGCAAGCGUUGUUCGGAAUUAUUGGGCGUAAAGCGCGUGUAGGCGGCUUAGUAAGUUGGGUGUGAAAGCCCUCGGCUUAACCGAGGAAGUGCGCCCAAAACUGCUUCGCUUGAGUGCCGGAGAGGGUGGCGGAAUUCCCGGUGUAGAGGUGAAAUUCGUAGAUAUCGGGAGGAACACCAGCGGCGAAGGCGGCCACCUGGACGGUAACUGACGCUGAGACGCGAAAGCGUGGGGAGCAAACAGGAUUAGAUACCCUGGUAGUCCACGCUGUAAACGAUGAGCGCUAGGUUUUGUGGGUGUUGACCCCCGCAGUGCCGCAGCUAACGCAUUAAGCGCUCCGCCUGGGAAGUACGGCCGCAAGGCUAAACUCAA
Molecule: ribosomal RNA, 904 nt
Filed under: uncultured bacterium
Lineage: Bacteria
Description: bacterial SSU rRNA
Rfam family: Bacterial small subunit ribosomal RNA
Source: RNAcentral